Molecule: ribosomal RNA, 453 nt
Filed under: uncultured Paraprevotella sp.
Lineage: Bacteria; Pseudomonadati; Bacteroidota; Bacteroidia; Bacteroidales; Prevotellaceae
Description: partial 16S ribosomal RNA
Rfam family: Bacterial small subunit ribosomal RNA
Source: RNAcentral
ACGGGAGGCAGCAGUGAGGAAUAUUGGUCAAUGGACGAGAGUCUGAACCAGCCAAGUAGCGUGAAGGAUGACUGCCCUAUGGGUUGUAAACUUCUUUUGUUCGGGAAUAAAGUCACCUACGUGUAGGUGUUUGUAUGUACCGUUCGAAUAAGCAUCGGCUAAUUCCGUGCCAGCAGCCGCGGUAAUACGGAAGAUGCGAGCGUUAUCCGGAUUUAUUGGGUUUAAAGGGAGCGUAGGCGGACUGUUAAGUCAGCGGUUAAAUGUCACGGCUCAACCAUGGCAUGCCGUUGAAACUGGUGGUCUUGAAUACACACAAGGAUGGUGGAAUUCGUCGUGUAGCGGUGAAAUGCUUAGAUAUGACGAAGAACUCCGAUUGCGAAGGCAGCCAUCUGGGGUGCGAUUGACGCUGAGGCUCGAAAGUGCGGGAAUCAAACAGGAUUAGAUACCCUGGUA